UUCCUGGUCAUUCAACACUCGGCUUAAACUCUGCCUUCUUUUAUUGUUGAGACAGAGUCUCGUUCUGUCGCCCAAGCUGGAGUGCCAUGGCAUGGCCUCGGCUCACUGCAACCUCCGUCUCCCGGGUUCAAGCGAUUCUCGUGCCUUAGCCUCCCAAGUAGCUGGGAUUACAGGCACACGCCUCCACGCCCAGCAAAUUUUUGUAUUUUUAGUGGAGACGGGGUUUUACCAUGUUGGCCAGGCUGGUCUCAAACUCCUGACCUCAAGUGAUCCACCCACCUGGGCCUCCCAAGGUGCUGGGAUUACAGGUGUGAGCCACUGCGCCUAGCCAAACCCUGCCUUCUUAUCAGCCUUUCACCCCUACCUCCCCAAUGAGGACCUCCACCCCCUGCAAGUGGCCUCCACCAUCCCUUAUUUCAGGGAGUCCUCAAGGGGUGACUCAUGUGUACUAUUUGCAAGAGUUACAUGGGGCCACUCUUGUUGGAUUCUUGGUUUUACUCACAAAGCCACCUGGUAGGGGGGCUGCCCUGAUGCCACGGCCCCUGGGGUGAGGGCUAAGGAUGCUGCUUCCCAUUGCUGCCACAGCCACCAGCCCUGGAGUCUCGGGAGGGUACCCAGAGGGGGACGCACUGCUCUCCAGCUCUGCCCACAGGCACUGAAGCCACUGCUUCUGCCCAGAGCUCUUAGCCUCCCUCGGGAAAGCAGCUCCCUCUGUUUCUGCCCCUUUCCCCAUCCUCCAGGAGAACUAAUGCUUCAUGUUUUUCCUUGGUGUCUGUCUCUCCUAUUUCCACCCAUCUCUGCUGGAGACCCCUAUCUCAAUUUUUAAAAAAAUCACCCAUCAAGAAACAAAGCUCCGUGCGUGGCACUCUGUGCAGAGAGAUCUGCACAAAGGAAGAGUCCGAUGGCCGCCUCCCAGCCUGCUUCCUGGAUUCACAGUCUUUGCAGAUGAAACAAGUCAAGAUGAAGGCAGACCGGAUUAGGGUGGGCCCUAAAUCCAAUGACCGGUGUCUUUAUGUAAACGAAGAGGGAGAUGUGGAUACAGAGUCGCAGAGGAGACACAGGGAGGAUCCCUGUCACAAUGAAGGCAGAGAUUAGAGUGACGCUGUUUACAAACCAAGGACACCAAGGAUUUCCAGGAGAUCCAGAAGCUAGGACAAGACAAGGAAGGCUCCUUUCCCAGGGCCUUGAGAGGGAGCGUGGCCCUGCUGACACCUUAAUUUCAGACUUCUGGCCUCCAGAACUGCAAGUGAAUAAAUUUCUGUUGUUUUCAGCUACCAAAA
Molecule: long non-coding RNA, 1280 nt
Organism: Homo sapiens (human)
Lineage: Eukaryota; Metazoa; Chordata; Mammalia; Primates; Hominidae
Exons: 2
Source: RefSeq, a predicted model, not a curated record